CGUGUGGUGUGCGGCUUAGAAUCGUAUAGCGACACGGCCUACUUGAGGU
Vibrio splendidus ZF-90 is the source of this 49-nucleotide non-coding RNA. The record is from Rfam. Lineage: Bacteria; Pseudomonadati; Pseudomonadota; Gammaproteobacteria; Vibrionales; Vibrionaceae.